This 157-nucleotide small nuclear RNA is filed under the name Microcebus murinus (gray mouse lemur). RNAcentral describes it as "U1 spliceosomal RNA (ENSMICG00000030519.2)". It matches the Rfam family "U1 spliceosomal RNA". From Rfam's summary of the family: U1 is a small nuclear RNA (snRNA) component of the spliceosome (involved in pre-mRNA splicing). Its 5' end forms complementary base pairs with the 5' splice junction, thus defining the 5' donor site of an intron. The record is from RNAcentral. Lineage: Eukaryota; Metazoa; Chordata; Mammalia; Primates; Cheirogaleidae.
GUACUUAGCUAGCAUGUUGGAUUCCAUAGGCACAACAAAGGUGGUUUUCCCAGGGUGCAGUUUGUCCAUCGCAUUUUAGGCUUGCCGGCUCUGUUGAUUUCACCAAAUGUGGGAAACUUCACUGCAUAAUUUGUGGUAUUAUGCACUUUCAUGCAGU